RNAcentral lists this small RNA (785 nucleotides) under Histoplasma capsulatum var. duboisii H88. RNAcentral's name for it is "Histoplasma capsulatum H88 hypothetical RNA". Lineage: Eukaryota; Fungi; Ascomycota; Eurotiomycetes; Onygenales; Ajellomycetaceae. The record is from RNAcentral.
ACCCUGACUGCCUGGUGUGAUUGGCUUUGGUUCCUCUGCUGCACUCUUUUGUUGUCCAACAAUGAAUCAAACGUACUUGAAAGUACCCGGACAGUCGACCAUCUCAGGAAACAAGGAGAUGCGAUCUUUAUCAUCAUCACAAAUAUCCCUGUAUACAAUCAUAUCUUGCCAUUUCCAUAUUUACGGCUUUCACCUGCUGAGCUGACAGUAAAUUUCUGCUAGAUCAUGUUUCGUUGCGCAUCCCUGGUGGCCGCAUGUUUUGACAGUGCGAUCACCCAAAGAUGCUUCGCUCUCUACCUUGGGCAUCCAUCGUUCACCACCCACAAGGGUUCUUGCAUACAAUCACUUUGUUGAAUCUGUGGCUUUAGGAUGUAUGUGUACGGUAAAUGAGUAACUUCCAUUCUCAAUCUCACCGGUUGUAUCUAAGCGCGGAGUCGACCCUGAUGACUAUGCAAGAUUGGGAUCUAAUGGCAUUAAUCACUGCCACAUUGCUACUACCGAAAACUGUAGCUGAUGAAUAGAUAAGGUCCCUUGAAGGACGGGGAUCAGCAGGGAGGAGGAAUGGAAUGAUGAGAUAUCUCGAAUCUACACGGGUUUUCUUCUUGGGCCAUUUCCAUCACAAUGGCUAGUUGUUUUUGUAUUAAUGUCAUGUAUGCACUAUUCCUAUGUAUUAAAAUUAGCAGUUUUUGAAGGGAUAUAAUUAGGAUAAGGGGUGUAAUUAUCAAUCCCCUUGAAGGUGCAAUCUAGAAGUGUAAACUCCAUAACCGCAAAGUAAAAUUGGAAGG